This is a small nuclear RNA of Camelus dromedarius (Arabian camel), 101 nucleotides long. The record is from Ensembl. NCBI's taxonomy places the organism in Eukaryota, Metazoa, Chordata, Mammalia, Artiodactyla, Camelidae.
GUGCUCACUUCGGCAGCACAUGUAAAAUUGGAAUGAUACAGAGAUUAGCAUGGCCCCUCCGCAAGGAUGACAUGCAAGUUCAUGAGCGUUCUGCAUUUUUU